GACGAACGCUGGCGGCGUGCUUAACACAUGCAAGUCGAACGAAGAGCGAUGGAAGCUUGCUUCUUUCAAUUUUCGUGGCGCACGGGUGUGUAACGCGUAAUCAACCUGCCCUUCAGAGGGGGACAACAGUUGGAAACGACUGCUAAUACCGCAUACGAUCUAACCUCGGCAUCGAGGAUAGAUGAAAGGUGGCCUCUACAUGUAAGCUAGCACUGAAGGAGGGGAUUGCGCUGGAUAAGCUAGUUGGAGGGGUAAGGGCCCACAAAGGUAAGGAUCGGUAGCGGGCGUGAGAGGGUGACGGCCAACCUGGGAACGGAGACAGGGCCAGGACUCCUACGGAGGGAGCCAGGGGGAAUUUUUCGAAAAUGGGGGAAGGCCUGCGGCGGCAAGCCCGGGUGGGGGAGGAGGGCCUCCGGUUUGUAAACCCUUUUUAUUGGGAAAGAAGAGCUGCUUGCGAAUAGUUAGAAGUUUUGACGGUACCGAAAGAGAAAGCCACGGCUAACUACGUG
RNAcentral lists this ribosomal RNA (509 nucleotides) under uncultured bacterium. Its description in RNAcentral is "partial 16S ribosomal RNA". It matches the Rfam family "Bacterial small subunit ribosomal RNA", at positions 28 to 507 of the family's 1533-position model. The record is from RNAcentral.